This 462-nucleotide long non-coding RNA is filed under the name Homo sapiens (human). Its description in RNAcentral is "HSALNT0305152". The record is from RNAcentral. Lineage: Eukaryota; Metazoa; Chordata; Mammalia; Primates; Hominidae.
CUAAAAAAAUUAAACAAAAAAGGAUCUGGGACCCCCUGCUCUCUCUCUUGCUCCCUUUCUCAUUGUGUGACAUGUCUGUUCCCCUUUUGCCUUCUUCUAUGAGUGAAAGCUUCCUGUAGCCUCACUAGAAGCCGAACAGAUGCUGGUGCCACGUUUGUACAGCCUGCAGAACUAUUCCAAAGCUCUUGAGCUGCAUGAAGUCACUGGAACACAGUAGAGCUUCUGAACCUGUAGCUGGAGAUGAGUAUCACCAGCCAACAUCCUUGGCAGAGCUGUGAGCCAACAGCCAGCCCCAGCCUGCCAGCCGUGUGAGCAAGCAGUCUUGGAAGGUGAUUCUACAGCCCCAGCUGAAACACUCCAACUGAUGCCAUGUGAGCCGAGAAGAGCAGCCAAACUGAGCCCUUCUCAAAUCCCUGAUCCUCCAAAUGUAGGCAAAAUAAAUUGCUGGUUUUAAGCCACUAA